This 72-nucleotide transfer RNA is filed under the name Ovis aries (sheep). It matches the Rfam family "tRNA". From Rfam's summary of the family: Transfer RNA (tRNA) molecules are approximately 80 nucleotides in length. Their secondary structure includes four short double-helical elements and three loops (D, anti-codon, and T loops). Lineage: Eukaryota; Metazoa; Chordata; Mammalia; Artiodactyla; Bovidae. The record is from Rfam by way of RNAcentral.
UCCCUGGUAAUUCAGAGGUUAAGACUCCUCACUCCAAUGCAGGGGGCCCAGGUUCAAUCCCUGGUCAGGGAA